RNAcentral lists this ribosomal RNA (424 nucleotides) under Verrucomicrobiota bacterium. RNAcentral's name for it is "Verrucomicrobia bacterium partial 16S ribosomal RNA". It matches the Rfam family "Bacterial small subunit ribosomal RNA", at positions 355 to 776 of the family's 1533-position model. Lineage: Bacteria; Pseudomonadati; Verrucomicrobiota. The record is from RNAcentral.
UGAGGAAUAUUGGUCAAUGGACGAGAGUCUGAACCAGCCAAGUAGCGUGCAGGAUGACGGCCCUAUGGGUUGUAAACUGCUUUUGUUUGGGAAUAAUCGACAUUACGUGUAAUGUUUUGCAUGUACCAUUCGAAUAAGGACCGACUAAUUCCGUGCCAGCAGCCGCGGUAAUACGGAAGGUCCAGGCGUUAUCCGGAUUUAUUGGGUUUAAAGGGAGUGUAGGCGGUUGGUUAAGCGUGUUGUGAAAUGUAGAUGCUCAACAUCUGACUUGCAGCGCGAACUGGCUGACUUGAGUACACACAACGUAGGCGGAAUUCAUGGUGUAGCGGUGAAAUGCUUAGAUAUCAUGAAGAACUCCGAUUGCGAAGGCAGCUUACGGGAGUGUUACUGACGCUUAAGCUCGAAGGUGCGGGUAUCGAACAGG